RNAcentral lists this ribosomal RNA (487 nucleotides) under uncultured bacterium. RNAcentral's name for it is "partial 16S ribosomal RNA". It matches the Rfam family "Bacterial small subunit ribosomal RNA", at positions 28 to 507 of the family's 1533-position model. The record is from RNAcentral.
GAUGAACGCUGGCGGCGUGCCUAACACAUGCAAGUCGAACGGAAAGACGCCCAUCUUGGUGGGGGUGCGUGAGCGGCGAACGGGUGAGUAACACGUGGGUGACCUGCCCUGUAGUUUGGGAUAAGCUCGGGAAACCGGGUCUAAUACCGGAUAGGACCAUGAAUUGGUGUGUUCAGGAGGGAAGGUUAUUUUUUUGGUGCCGGAUGGGCUGGCGGCCUAUCAGUUUGUUGGUGGGGUAAGGGCCUGCCAAGGCGGGGACGGGUAGCCGGCCUGAGAGGGGGGACAGCGACAUUGGGACUGGGAUACGGCCCAGACGGGUAGGGGAGGCAGCGGUUGUGAAGAUAGGGGAAUAGGCGCAAGCCUGAAGCGGCGACGCAGCGUGGGAGAUCACGGGCUUCGGGUAGUAAGCUCCUUGGGUAAGAGACGAGGGCACGUUAUUAGGGUGUGGUGACGGUACCUUUGUCAAAAAGCACCGGCUAACUACGUG